GACGAACGCUGGCGGCGUGCUUAACACAUGCAAGUCGAACGGAAAGGCCCUGCUUUUGUGGGGUGCUCGAGUGGCGAACGGGUGAGUAACACGUGAGUAACCUGCCCUUGACUUUGGGAUAACUUCAGGAAACUGGGGCUAAUACCGGAUAGGAGCUCCUGCUGCAUGGUGGGGGUUGGAAAGUUUCGGCGGUUGGGGAUGGACUCGCGGCUUAUCAGCUUGUUGGUGGGGUAGUGGCUUACCAAGGCUUUGACGGGUAGCCGGCCUGAGAGGGUGACCGGCCACAUUGGGACUGAGAUACGGCCCACACUCCUACGGGAGGCAGCAGUGGGGAAUAUUGCACAAUGGGCGGAAGCCUGAUGCAGCAACGCCGCGUGCGGGAUGACGGCCUUCGGGUUGUAAACCGCUUUCGCCUGUGACGAAGCGUGAGUGACGGUAAUGGGUAAAGAAGCACCGGCUAGCUACGUG
Molecule: ribosomal RNA, 468 nt
Filed under: uncultured bacterium
Lineage: Bacteria
Description: partial 16S ribosomal RNA
Rfam family: Bacterial small subunit ribosomal RNA
Source: RNAcentral